CCUACUCAUCAGUUAAACACUCUCUUCUCUCGUUUGUUUUUCUCUCUCUCUGAGUUUGAGACUGAGUCUGACUCUCUCUCCCUAAAAGAGGAAAACGGCGUUUCUCAUGGUGGUCAGUCAGGUCAACUCAUCAUCAUCACAACCACCACAACUGAGUCAGUUACAGUAUUAUUGACUCACUCGUCUUUCUUGUUAAACAAACAGAUAGAAACAAAUAGAGUCGUACUUGUACUACUCCUUCGUUGUUAUUGUCUGUUGCCGAAAGCAGCAGACUGUUUUUUUUUUUUUAAUUUAUUUUUCUCUUGUUAAAAUCUCUCAUCGGGAUAAUCAUCAACAUCAAGCAGCAGCAGCUGAGUGUGAUUAAUUGAUUUGGAUGAUGCGUAAAAUGGGAAGCGUGAGAAAGAAUUUCAGCGCAAAUCCAGGGGAUUAUAAGUUAUUAGAAGAAGUAGGUUAUGGAGCAAGUGCUACUGUUUUUAGGGCGAUCUAUCUUCCUACUAAUGAAGUUAUUGCUGUCAAGUGCUUAGAUCUUGAUCGAUGCAAUAGUAAUCUCGAUGACAUACGCAAGGAGGCACAAACAAUGAUUUUGAUUGAUCAUCUGAAUGUGAUUAAGGCGUUUUGUUCGUUUGUUGUUGAACAAUGUCUUUGGGUGGUAAUGCCAUUUAUGGCUGAAGGUUCUUGUCUACACCUAAUGAAGAUUGCAUAUCCAGAUGGAUUUGAAGAGUUUGUUAUUGCUACUAUCCUUAAAGAAACACUUAAAGCUUUGGAGUAUCUACAUCGGCAUGGGCAUAUACAUCGUGACAUCAAGGCUGGAAAUAUACUGCUUGAUAGCGAUGGAAUAGUGAAGCUUGGGGAUUUCGGAGUGUCAGCUUGUAUGUUUGACAAGGGUGACAGGCAACGGUCAAGGAAUACUUUUGUAGGAACUCCAUGCUGGAUGGCUCCAGAAGUUUUGCAGCCGGGAAGUGGAUACGAUUUUAAAGCUGAUAUCUGGUCAUUUGGGAUAACUGCUUUAGAGUUGGCCCAUGGUCAUGCUCCAUUCUCAAAGUACCCUCCGAUGAAGGUUCUUCUAAUGACCAUCCAGAAUGCCCCUCCUGGACUCGAUUAUGAUCGAGAUAAAAAGUUUUCCAAGUCCUUUAAAGAAAUGGUUGCCAUGUGCUUGGUGAAAGAUCAAACAAAGAGGCCAACUGCGGAGAAAUUAUUAAAGCAUUCUUUUUUCAAACAUGCAAAACCUCCAGAGCUUUCUGUAAAGAACCUUUUGAAAGAUUUGCCACCACUUUGGGACCGCGUAAAGGCCCUCCAGCUCAAAGAUGCUGCACAAUUGGCUUUGAAGAAAAUGCCCUCAGCAGAGCAAGAAGCAAUAUCGCAGAACGAGUACAAGCGAGGCGUGAGUGCGUGGAACUUCGAUGUUGAAGACUUGAAAGCUCAAGCGUCCCUGGUUCUUGAUUAUGAUGAUGAGCAAGGGCUGAAAGAAGAAGAUGAGUCCAUGGAUUUAUUUUCUAAUCACAAGCAUGCAUCUUCAUCUAAAUCCAACUUGGCAAAUUCCCCUCCAAAUAGAAGUGCUCUGAGGGGUAGUGUAAGCAGUGCUGAACUAUCACGGUAUGGGAGCUCGAAUGGAAAAGGGGUAAUUGUGGAACCUAAUUGCAAUAAUGGCAGUCAAGAAAAAUCUGAUCUGUGUGAAAAAGAGGUAUUGGGUAGUGACUCAGUGUUGUCAACACCAGACAAGGGUGUGUUGCAAGGUCCACCUCAGAACCAAACUGUUACAGGCCGCCAAACUCGAAGUGGACCACUCAUGCCUAAUGCUGUGCUUUCUCAUUCACAAUCAGAAAGAGGGCGUUUAUAUGAAAGGUGUGUGGCGGAGAACCAACCAGUGCCUGAGAAAGGCAAAUCCAAUGUACGAAGGGCUCCCAGCUUUAGUGGCCCUCUGAUGCUCCCAAACCGAGCUUCUGCAAACAGUUUAUCAGCUCCAAUAUGGCCUUCAGGAGGAUUCAGAGAUGAGGAUAAAUCAAAGGGCAAUGUGGUACAAAUUAAAAAAGGCCGGUUUUCAGUGACGUCUGAGAGUUUGGAUCCUGGAAAGGACUUUCCCUCAUGUACAGUUCCACGAGGAUCCUCAACGGGGUCGUCGCCUCUUAGAAAAUCUGCAAGUGUUGGCGAAUGGCUAUUUGAUGCUAGACCAAUGCCUAACAACCUAUCACCAAAGGAAGGGAGCAACAACGCGGUGCCUACAUCGCUUCUUAUGCCUCACCUUCAGAAUAUAUUACAGCAGACCACGAUACAACAAGAUCUCAUUACGAAUUUGUUGAGUACCUUGCAACUAACUGACGUAGUAGAUGGUGGUCAUACAGGAAAUACGCAAGUACAACCUUUAGAAAACAAUGCAGCUGUUGACCCAGCUGCUUCCGAAAGAGAGCGGUUGUUACUGCUUAAAGUGUCAGAACUUCAGGCCAGAAUGAUCACUUUAACGGAUGAACUUACUUCCGAAAAGUUGAAACACUUACAGCUAAAACAACAACUAAGUUAUAUGAGUGGUCGAGAAGAAGGAAGUAGCAGAAAAGGAGAAAGGGAGAGUUGAAGAAACCAAAUUCCUGAUCACUGUAAAAAGCGCAAAGCACCAUGUAAUUCAAAACCUUGUAGAAAGAAGCGAAAGCUGGAGCAGAGCGGGCGGCCAUUUUAGUUCCCUGGCAUUGAUAUUCCCAUUAUUUUACUGAAGGAACUUGUGUGAAAGAUCUCACAGCCUUCUCAGCGUGAUGUCGAAUACAGAAACAAGAAAACAUAAACGGAAACAAAAAAAAAAUCUAGUUAUCUCAAAAACAGUAAAUUCAUUCGGUUUCGUUCAUUAUAAAGUGCACAGAGUUGAAACCUGAUCGGUGACUAUGAUUUGUAGUAGAAGUAGUAGAAGCGAUAGAAGAGAGCAGUUUCCGGCGAAGCCAAUUAUUUAUAAACCAAGUCAAUCGCCGACCUGGAAUUUGGGCUGUUUGGUUGGCAAUGGUGAUGUUGUAUUUAUAUUUACUAAGUACAAAAAACGAAUUAAUUAUACAUUUAGAAAAAAAUAAACGCACAUCUUGUCCAUGGCUAAGCAAUAAGGCUGCAUGGUGUACUAUUAUGGCAAAAAAAGUUGUCAGUGCCAAUUGUUUGGCCCUUGUAUUUUUGAGGUUUGUUCAAUGUAUUGUUAUUGCCUUUCUGGUUCUUUGGCA
Molecule: RNA transcript, 3188 nt
Organism: Papaver somniferum (opium poppy)
Lineage: Eukaryota; Viridiplantae; Streptophyta; Magnoliopsida; Ranunculales; Papaveraceae
Gene name: germinal center kinase 3-like
Exons: 23
Source: RefSeq, a predicted model, not a curated record